This is a long non-coding RNA of Bradysia coprophila, 182 nucleotides long. NCBI's taxonomy places the organism in Eukaryota, Metazoa, Arthropoda, Insecta, Diptera, Sciaridae. The record is from RefSeq and is a predicted model, not a curated record.
CAAUAUGACAAUUCUUGAAUGUCCUCUAAGUGCUCCCAAGUGCUCCCAACGCUAGAACUCAAGGAUUAACCUUUCAGAUUCCGGUCCAACCAUAAAAAAAUAUUCAGUUUUGACCGAGAUAUUUCACUUUUAAGUUUUACACUAAAACCGGUUUUUACCGGUACAUACCGGUUCAAAACACC